AUAUAAUUCCCAAAAGUUCUAUUUUAGGAAAGUUUUCAUUUUCUAUACAAAUAUUGUAGAUUUGGGGUUGUGAUUUAGAAAUUAGGAUAACAAUAUUUUUUUGUUGAUAGAUGAGUACUUUUUUAGAUUUUUUGAUCAAUAGGUUGUAUAUUUUAGAUAAAAUUCUCAAAAAUUGUAUUUUUGAAAAGUUUUCAUUUUUAUAGCGAAAUAUUGUAGAUUUGGGGUUGUGAUUUAGAAUUUAGGAUAACAAGAAUUUUUGUUGAUAGAUGAGUUUUCUUUUAAAAGUUUUGAUCAAUAAGUUGUAUGUUUUAGAUAAAAUUCUCAAAAAUUCUAUUUUUGGAAAGUUUUCAUUUUUGUGAAUAAUAAUAUUGUGGAUUUGGGGUUUUGAUUUAGAAAUUAGGAUAACAAGAAUUUUUGUUGAUAUAUGAGUAUUGUUUUAGAUUUUUCGAUCAAUAGGUUGUAUACUUUAGAUAAAAUUCUCAAAAAUUAGAUUUUUUCUUAUAUGUUAUAUUUUGAAUUUUUUUAAAUGACUUUAAAUUACAAAAAUGAGGAAACCAUAUAUGUUUUUUUUUAAACCGACUUUAAAAUACAAAAAUGAGGACACCUUAUAUGUUAGAUUUUUUCUUAUAUGUUAUAUUUUGAAUUUUUUAAAACAAAUUUAAAUUACAAAAAUGUAAGUUUUCCUUAAGUAUACUACUAAAAACAUUAAAAUGACAUGUAUCAGUUCGAUGGUUGAUUUGAAAGAUUUCAAAACCAUAUGUAAGUUAAAAGUCAAAAUAAUUCAAUCGUGAAAACAAUACUAUUCACUUUUUCAAAAUUGUGUUCGUGGAAAAAAAUAAGGUUUUUAUGUCAUAAUUUGUUUAAUGUCCACUAGAGAACAUUAUAUUAACCUAAAAUAUAAGAAAUGUGUAUUCGUUCCCUAAAUAAAAGCUACGAAAUUAUCUAAUAUGAUUUACAUAUAUAUGGCAAUUAAUGAUUAUGAAUAAUAAAGAUUUGAUAACAAUUUUUGCAUCCUUCUUCAUUUUGUUUAAUUUUAUAUUAUUAAAAAAAAUAAACAAUCGCAUUAACCAUAUAAUAAAAAAUUAGAUUUUUUCUUAUAUGUUAUAUUUUGAAUUUUUUUAAAUGACUUUAAAUUACAAAAAUGAGGAAACCUUAUAUGUUAUUAUUUUUUUUUAAAAACGACUUUAAAAUACAAAAAUGAGGACACCUUAUAUGUUAGAUUUUUCUUAUAUGUUAGAUUUUUUCUUAGAUGUUAUAUUUUGAAUUUUUUAAAACGACUUUAAAUUACAAAAAUGUAAGUUUUCCUUAAGUAUACGACUAAAAACAUUAAAAUGACAUGUAUCAAUUCGAUGGUUGAUUUGAAAGCUUUCAAAACCAUAUGGAAGAUAAAAGUCAAAAUAAUUCAACUGUGAAAACAAUACUGUUCAAUUUUUUCAAGAAUGUGUUCGAUGGAAAAAAUAAAGUUUUUAUGUCAUAAUUUGUUUAAUGUCCAAUCCGAUUAACCCAUGAUGUAUUAAUUAUAGUUUUGUUCCACUAUUUUUAAUAAAAAUUGAUCCGAUCCAUAGGAAAGAAAUUAUAUAAUAACAACAAAAAAUAUUUUAUAUAUAUAAAUAAAAUGAUCACAUAUAUAAAAAAAACUAUCGAUAAUAUAUACAAAUAAACUCACUAUGCGCAAGGGGCAGAUCUUAUCAACUAUCCUAGUUGAUGAUUAAGCGGGGAAUCAAUGUGCCGGUUUAACAAAACCUUCAUGAAAAUUAUUUGUUAGAUAGACUCAAUGCCUAGUCUCACAAUGAUUUACGAAUAUACUUGAAAAUAAAUAAUUUUAGAAUUCCAUUUAAGUUUGAUGGGUUACUUGACUUCAAACAGAAUUAAGAAUAUUGGAUAUCGAAUUUUAUGUUUGAAAACAUAAUUUUAUUUAUUUUAUUUAUUCUGACGGGUAUUAAAUUAUCUCAACCCCCUUAUUUUUGGUCAUGGGCCGGGUUUUAAGGUUUUACAUUACAUGGUCUUGAUUAGUAGAAUGGGAUCAUCCUUAGACCUAACUUCUCAACACGAGAUGUAGCAUCUUUAACUUUGAUGAAUUUGACGAAUAUGGUCUUAGCCACAUCAUUGGUGAGAACUAGAACUUGUUGUGGUGUAGUUCCCAAUAGUGGGAUGGAUCCAACGUUUCCGGCAGAAGUGGUCAAUUUGUAAAUGUUUGUUCCAUCUUCUUCUCCGACUUUCUCUAUCUUAAACCGGCUAUUUGGUUCCUCAGGUCUACCACCGAUGAGAAUUGGAGGCUCAAUGAUAUACCGUGCUUCAUAGACUUCCCAGAACUUGGAUAGCUCCUUACAGUCGUUGGACUUGAACUCGAUGGUUAUACUGAAAUUUGUUUUGACAACUUCUAAUGGCGUGAUGAACCCCGGUGGAUAUGCUAUGCUAACUGGCACUCCCGGUUCUCCCGUAAAUGUUUCGCUAAUACCACGUGGUUCACAAAAGGGAUUUAUACCAGCAAGUGGAGCAAGACUACCGCCGUUAAUCCCGUUACUGAUCGGUUGUAUGUAGUAUUGUUCUUUGAGUCGAACUUCGUUCCCAUUGCUGUCCCUUACCGAUUCUUCUCCGUGGGUGCAGACAGCUGCAGCCAACAGGAGAAUGAGGAGAAAAGAGGCCAAUGAUGUCAUGAUUGCCAUUGUUUUUCUUUGUUUGUUUGAGUUGAGUUAUAGAGAUCAUACACAUUGUAUCCGUAUUUAUAGGAAGUCUUGGGGUUAAAUUUUAAACCGCUUAAUGUUCAAAAGAAGAUUGAAAAUCUUUCAUUUCUGUUAAAUAAAUAUCUACAGUAAUCAGCUUUAAAAAAAAUUUCAAAGGUUUUUUUAUUACUCACGUCGCAUUCUGAUCAUUCAUUCAUUUUAGCUGUAAGGGUUAAAAAUAGAGGUUUAGACUUUAUGCUAUUCAAUUCCAUCUUCGAUUUUUAACACGAGGAUCAUGCAAAACGGUUCUUGUCAAAUAAUUGAUGGGAAGAAGACAAUAACUUCAUACAGAGUGAUGGGAUGGAGGAUACAAAGUAUGAAUGAUUCUAGACAUCUUUGUCUUUUUUCUCUCUGUUAAAUAGUUACUAAAAACGAAAAAGAAAAGAAACCUAAUUCUUUCCGUCGGACUAUAUAUAUAUAUCAAUAGGAAAAUUCCAGUUUUGUAAGUAACCGUAUCAAGAAUAAGAGCAUCUCCAGUUUCAAAAAAAAAAAAGAAUAAGACAUCUCCAAAACAAACUCUAUAAUUUCAAGCACAAAGUUUUUUGCUCUAAAAAAAAAAAACUUCAAAACUUUAUAUUUGAAGUUUCAUCUUUUUAUUUACAUUUUAGUACUUACAAUUAACUAUAUAUCACAUUUAUAAUUUUUAAGUAUUUUAUCAUUUAUUAUUUUAAUCCGUAAAAUUUUAUAUCUCAUAAAUUUUUCGAAUUUGUUUUUAUAAAUUCAAGUUUUACACAUAAAAUUAAAUAAUUUUUUUAAUAAGAUUUAUUAUAUUUUAAAACUAGUAUUAGACAACAAGAAUAUUACAAAAAAACUUAAUAUUUUUUUUAAAAGGUACAUGAAGACACAAUUAUUACACAAAUUUAAAUAUUACAACAAUACUAAUUGUCUCAUAAAUUUGCUUUCGAAUCUCCAAAAUGUUAUCCAAACAAAUUUUGUAUAACCGAAUUAUGAGCAUUACAUAAAUAAUUUUAUGGAAUAAUAUGGUAUUUUACUUGUAGUUUAACAUUGAAUUAUGUAUUUCUAUUUAUAAUUUUAUAUUUUAGCGUCAGAUUUUAUAAAUUAAUAUUACUGUAAUAUUUAUAUAUAUGUGCUAGUUAUUUAUAAUUUUUAAUGAAUUUACGUUAAUUAUGAUAAAUAUAGAGACGAUAGUGUAAAAUACAAAAAAAAUUGAAGUUAAGUUCGAAGUUUUGGUUUUUGAGAAGAACUCUUGAAACUUCAAAUAUAGAGUUUUGCAAACUUCAAAAUAGAGAGAGUGCUUUUAGAGAUGCUCUAAAAAAGACUUUCUAUUUUAGAGUUUGUAAAACUCUAUAUUUGAAGUUUCAAGGUGUUCUUAUCUAAAAACAAAACUUCAAAUUUAACUUGAAAAUUAUUUGUGAUUUACACUAAGAUCCUUAUAUUUGUCAUAAUUAAUAUAAAUCCAUUAAAGUUUUAUAAAUGAUUAGCACAUAUAUAAAAAUAUUACAGUAAUAUUAUUAAUAAAAUCUUACACUAAAAUAUAAAAUUAUAAGUAGUAAUACAUACUUAGUUAUUAAAGUACAAGCAAAAUAUCACAUUAUUCCAUAAAAUUAUUUUGGCAAUGAUCCACUUUCAAUUACACAAAAUUUGUUUGGAAAAUAUUUUAGAGGUUCGAGAGGAAAUUUACUAGAUUAUUAGUAUUGUUGUAAUAUUUAAAUUUGUGCAAUAAUUAUGUCUUCACGUAUCUUUUCAAAAAUGUUUUUUAUUAAGUUUCUUUUAUAAUAUUCUUGUUGUCUAAUUCUAGUUUUAAGAUAAAAUUCUUUGAAGAUUUUGGAUCAAUAAGUUGUAUUUUUAAGAUAAAAUUCUCAAAAAUUCUAUUUUAGGAAAGUUUUAUUUUUAUUGAGAAAUAUUGUAGAUUUGGGGUUCUGAUUUAGAAAUUAGAACAACGAGAAUUUUUGUUGAUAAAUGAGCAUUCUUUUAAAAGUUUUGAUCAAUAGGUUGUAUGUUUUAGAUAAAAUUCUCAAAAAUUCUAUUUUUAGAAAGUUUUCAUUUUUAUAGAGAAAUAUUGUAGAUUUGGGGUUGUGAUUUAGAAUUUUGGAUAACAAGAAUUUUUGUUGAUAGAUGAGUAUUCUUUGAGGAUUUUUGAUCAAUAAGUUGUAUUUUUAAGAUAAAAUUCUCAAAAAUUCUAUUUUAGGAAAGUUUUUAUUUUUAUUGAGAAAUAUUGUAGAUUUGGGGUUCUGAUUUAGAAAUUAGGAUAACAUGAAUUUUUGUUGAUAGAUGAGUAUUCUUUUAGAUUUUUUGAUCAAUGAAUUUUUGUUGAUAGAUGAGUAGGAAAGUUUUAUUUUUAUUGAGAAAUAUUGUAGAUUUGGGGUUCUGAUUUAGAAAUUAGGACAACAAGAAUUUUUGUUGAUAGAUGAGUAUUCUUUUAAAAGUUUUGAUCAAUAGGUUGUAUAUUUUAGAUAAAAUUCUCAAAAAUUCUAUUUUUGGAAAGUAUUCAUUUUUGUGAAUAAUAGUGUGGAUUUGGGGUUUUGAUUUAGAAAUUAGGAUAACAAGAAUUGUUUGUUGAUAGAUGAGUAUUCAUUUAGAUUUUUUUGAUCAAUAGUUGUAUUUUUUAAAUAUAAUUCUCAAAAGUUCUAUUUUAUGAAAGUUUUCAUUUUCUAUAGAAAUAUUGUAGAUUUAGGGUUCUGAUUUAGAAAUGAGGAUAACAAUAUUUUUUGUUGAUACAUCAGUAUUUUUUAGAUUUUUUUUAUCAAUAGGUUGUAUAUUUUAGAAACAAUUUCAAAAAUUCUAUUUUUAGAAAGUUUUCAUUUUUAUAGAAAAAUAUUGUUGAUUUGGGGUUGUGAUUUAGAAUUUUGGAUAACAAGAAUUUUUUUUGAUUGAUGAGUAUUCUAUAAGGAUUUUUGAUCAAUAGGUUGUAUUUUUUAGAUAAAAUUCUCAAAAAUUCUAUUUUAAGAAAGUUUUUAUUUUUAUUUAGAAAUAUUGUAGAUUUGGGGUUCUGAUUUAUAAAUUAAGAUAACAAGAAUUUUUGUUGAUAGAUAAGUAUUCUUUUAGGAUUUUUGAUCAAUAAGUUGUAUUUUUUAGAUAAAAUUCUCAAAAAUUCUAUUUUAGGAAAGUUUUUUUAUUUUUAUUGAGAAAUAUUGUAGAUUUGGGGUUCUGGUUUAGAAAUUAGUACAACAAGAAUUUUUGUUGAUAGAUGAUCAUUCUUUUAAAAGUUUUGAUCAAUAGGUUGAAUAUUUUAGAUAAAAUUCUCAAAAAUUCUAUUUUUGGAAAGUUUUCAUUUUUAUAGCGAAAUAUUGUAGAUUUGGGGUUGUGAUUUAGAAUUUUGGAUAACAAAAUUUUUUGUUGAUAGAUGAGUAUUCUUUGAGGAUUUUUGAUCAAUAAGUUGUAUUUUUAAGGUAAAAUUCUCAAAAAUUCUAUUUUAGGAAAGUUUUUAUUUUUAUUGAGAAAUAUUGUAGAUUUGGGGCUCUGAUUUAGAAAUUAGGACAACAAGAAUUUUUGUUGAUAAAUGAGCAUUCUUUUAAAAGUUUUGAUCAAUAGGUUGUAUAUUUUAGAUAAAAUUCUCAAAAAUUCUAUUUUUGGAAAGUUUUCAUUUUUGUGAAUAAUAGUGUGGAUUUGAGGUUUUGAUUAAGAAAUUAGGAUAACAAGAAUUGUUUGUUGAUAGAUGAGUAUUAUUUUAGAUUUUUUGAUCAAUUUUUUAAAUAUAAUUCUCAAAAAUUCUGUUUUAGGAAAGUUUUAUUUUUCUAAAAAAAUAUUGUAGAUUUGGGGUUGUGAUUUAGAAAUUAAGAUAACAAUAUUUUUAGUUGAUAGAUGAGUAUUUUCUUUAGAUUUUUUGAUCAAUAGGUUGUAUAUUUUAGAUAAAAUUCUCAAAAAUUCUAUUUUUAGAAAGUUUUCAUUUUUAUAGCGUAAUAUUGUUGAUUUAGGGUUGUGAUUUAGAAUUUAGGAUAACAAGAAUUUUUGGUGAUAGAAGAGUAUUCAUUGAGGAUUUUUGAUCAAUAAGUUGUAUUUUUAAGAUAAAAUUCUCAAAAAUUCUGUUUUAGGAAAAUUUUAUUUUUAUUGAGAAAUAUUGUAGAUUUGGGGUUCUGAUUUAGAAAUUAGGACAACAAGAAUUUUUGUUGAUAGAUGAGCAUUCUUUUAAAAGUUUUGAUCAAUAGGUUGUAUAUUUUAGAGAAAAUUCUCAAAAAUUCUAUUUUUGGAAAGUUUUCAUUUUAUAGAGAAAUAUUGUAGAUUUGGGGUUGUGAUUUAGAAUUUAGGAUAACAAGAAUUUUUGUUGAUAUAUAAGUAUUCUUUAAGGAUUUUUGAUCAAUAAGUUGUAUUUUUAAGAUAUUAUUCUCAAAAAUUCUAUUUUAGGAAAGUUUUCAUUUUUUUGUAGAAAUGUUAUAGAUUUGAAGUUGUGAUUUUGAAAUUAGUAUAACAAGAAUUUUUGUUGAUAGAUGAGUAUUCUUUUAAAAGUUUUGAUCAAUACGUUGUAUAUUUUAGAUAAAAUUCUCAAAAGUUCUAUUUUUGGAAAGUUUUCAUUUUUGUGAAUAAUAGUGUGGAUUUGGGGUUUUGAUUUAGAAAUUAGGAUAACAAGAAUUGUUUGUUGUUAGAUGAGUAUUCUUUUAGAUUUUUUAUCAAUUGUUGUAUUUUUUGGAUAUGAUUCUCAAAAGUUCUAUUUUAGGAAAGUUUUCAUUUUCUAUACAAAUAUUGUAGAUUUGGGGUUGUGAUUUAGAAAUUAGGAUAACAAUAUUUUUUGUUGAUAGAUGAGUAUUUUUUUAGAUUUUUUGAUCAAUAGGUUGUAUAUUUUAGAAAAUUUUAUUUUUGGAAAGUUUUCAUUUUUAUAGCGAAAUAUUGUAGAUUUGGGGUUGUGAUUUAGAAUUUAGGAUAACUAGAAUUUUUGUUGAUAGAUGAGUAUUCUUUUAAAAGUUUUGAUCAAUACGUUGUAUAUUUUAGAUACAAUUCUCAAAAGUUCUAUUUCUGGAAAGUUUUCAUUUUUGUGAAUAAUAGUGUGGAUUUGGGGUUUUGAUUUAGAAAUUAGGAUAACAAGAAUUGUUUGUUGUUAGAUGAGUAUUCUUUUAGAUUUUUUGAUCAAUUGUUGUAUUUUUUGAAUAUAAUUCUCAAAAGUUCUAUUUUAGGAAAGUUUUCAUUUUCUAUACAGAUAUUGUAGAUUUGGGGUUGUGAUUUAGUAGUAAAGGAUUCGUCGUAAACGACACGUAAAUAUUUCGAUGUAAAGCACACGUAAAUACUUUCGUUGUAAAUCACUCGUAAACAUUUCGAUGUAAAACCCUCGUAAAUAUUUCGAUGUUAAUCACUCGUAAACAUUCGAUGUAAACUCCAUGUAAUGUUUACGAGGAGUUUACAUCGUUUCUUAUUAUAUUAUUAUUAAUUAGUAUAUAAUAGAUUUUAAUUUAUAUUUAAUAUUCAGAAUUGAAAAUAAUUUAAAUUUUAAAACGAAAUAUGAAAUUGGAAAAAAUAUUUUAAAAAGUCAUACAAUAAUAUUUAAAUUCAUAAUACAAACAGAAAAAUAAAAAAAAAACUACAUAUUCUCGAAGUAGUUAGUGGGGUUACUCGGCUGUUUACGGGUUGGAUCGGACUCUUGGGGAUCUCGUGGUGGCAUUCCAAGAGCGGCUCGUCUCUCACUCAACAUUCUCUGCAUAACCGGGUUUCCCACGGCCAUCACGUCUAGCAAAUCCUCAAGAGAGUCUAAACGAACCUGCUGGCUAUCCAUUCGAGCCUUCAUCUGAGCAGUCUCUUCAUCCCGUCUGGAAGUGUAUGACGAAGUUGCCCUUGCAACUUCGUUAACAGAGCCUAUACCGACUAUCCGUCCCUUCUUUUUAGGAGCCACCUAUAAAAUCAAAACAUAUAUUAAUAUAGUUAAUUAUGUUAAAAUAUUUAAAAUAAUGUAAACAAAAAUUUUAAGUUGUACCUCUUCGAAGAUUCUGUCGACCUCUUCGGUGGACAAUGUGACUGGUAAUCCAUCGGGAGACUCAUGGGUUAGUUGCGUCUCCCGUUCUUCAAUCCGACCAGCCACUGUUUGGAAGAGUUUCUCAGAUGCAGGAUCCACAUAAACUCCGUCGGAUGUGGCGUGAGUCAUCUUGAAUAGGUCAGACAGAGAAGGUAAGACUCCCGUUUUCUCGAACUACAAAAAAAAAAAUUAAAUUAAAUAUUAUAAAUUAUAUUAAUUGAAUAUUUUAAAAUAUAUAUUUAAAACAAAACUUACAGCUUCUAGACGGACUCCUGCAUGAGGUUUUUGUCCGGUUCUGUGAAGCAUGGGCAAAUGAACAUCUUUAUCCUUCGUCCUUCGAGAAGCCGAGCACGAAUUGGCCUUUUUGAUCGAAGAGGGGUGCUCCCAAUAGGCGAUGAGGCCAUCCCACACAUCCGUCGUGAGCUCAGUGGGCUUUCCCUCAUACCCGUAGAUUUCCCACUUGUCCUUCCAAUCAGAGACUGUGUUGCAGAGGUGUAUCUUUGCCUUUGCAACAAAUUCCGCCUUCACCCUCUCGGUGAUUCCCAAAGACCAAUGCCACUUUUGCUGAAACAUAAAAAUUUUGAAAAAAUUACAAUUAAUAAUAAAUAUUAAAUAUAUAUAUAUAUAUAUAUUUAAAAGUGAGAAUUUAAUUAAAUUUAAAAAUCUUACCGCAAAACAUUUAAACCACGUGAUCUUAACGUUAUUUGGUGUCUUGCUCCAGUUCGGGUAUGCCCCGUCGUAGUAACCCUUGAUCGUCGCCGAAACGCUCCGGCUAACACGCUUGUUAGCCCCAAACCUGAAAAAAAACAAUUUAACCGUUAGAAAAUAAAAAUUAAUUAAAUUUUAAUGUAAUAAAAAUUAAUAACUUACCAAUAAGUUCAUCGGGGUCUAUCGGGGUCUAGAACAUCCAAACCCUCCCGUCCAGGCUGGGCAAGCAAAUCCUCCACCGUAUAUCUCGCGAAGGGAGCAUAUGAAGGCACACGCAAAUCCGGAUGAACUGCACCUUCUGGGACAGGCUCAGGUGCAGCCGCCGGAGGAGGAGGUGGAGGCAUCUGCGGUGGAAGAGGAGGACUCGAAAAAACUCUCUGAGAAGUCUGAGAGUCUGGAACUGCAUCGGAAGACGAUGGACCGGAAGAAGAUGUACCGGAACCAUCGCCAAACAACUGGGCAUAAGUAGGUGCUGCUGGUUUCCUUCUAGGAGCCAUCUAAAAAAAAUUUAAAUAAAUUUAAUCAAUUAUGACGACAUAAUUAAAAAAUUAUUCUGUUACCUAACUAAUCACCUAAACUAUAGUAUUCCGUCAUCUAACUAAUCACCUAAACUAAUUAUCUAACUAAUCACCUAAAUUAAUUACCUAACUAAUUAAUAACCUAAACUAACUUAAAAUAAAAAAGGAGGAAAGAUAAUGUACCUUAGAGGGAGAGGAGAGGAGUUUGGGAGGAAUGAACGAGGCAGCCUCGUCUCGGCGUUUCAAUAUAUAGAAAAUGAUUCGUCGUAAACGCGACGUAAUAUUACGACGAAGUUACCAGGCCCGCGUUUUUCGUUUUACGACGAAAUUACGUCGAAACAUCGGUUUACGACGAAUUUACCAGGCCCGCGUUUACGACGAAUUUACCAGGCCCCCGUUUUUUCAUUUACGACGAAGUUACCAGGCCCGCGUUUUUCGAUUUACGACGAAAUUACGUCGAAACGUCGGUUUGCGACGAAUUUACCAGGCCCGCGUUUUUCGAUUUACGACGAAAUUACGUCGAAACGUCGGUUUACGACGAAUUUACCAGGCCCGCGUUUACGACGAAGUUACCAGGCCCGCAUUUUUCCAUUUACGACGAAAUUACGUGGAAUAGAUAACCAUUUACGACGAUUUUACAACGCUUAACCCUAAACACCGAGAAUGAAAUCCCUAAACCCCAAAGUCACAUAUCAUCUAACAUCAUAUCUCUUCUCUACUACUUUGUGCUCUUUCUCCAACUUAAACUCUAAAACCCUAAAACUCCAAAUAAUUUUUUAAAAACUAAAAAAAUACAUAUUAUAUAAAACAACAUUUGUUACACAUACAUUAGGAUGGUAAAAAACAAUAUUUCUUUAAACAUACGUUACAAUAGAGAAAUACAACAUUUGUUACAUAUAUUACAUCACUCUAAAUCGUUUUCGUUCUCAUCAAUAUUACAUCAUUCUAAAUCGUUUUCGUUCUCAUCACUAUCAUUACAAUCAUCAUCGUCGCUUCUCUCGAACUCGUCUUCACGUGCUUCAUCUGUCGCAUCUUCGGAAAUAUCUUCAUAUUGAAAGUUUUGCGGGUCGAUCAAAAGGAUUUCAUCAGUUGGUUGUUCUGGUACCUCAACUUCAUUGAUAGCGUCUUCUUCUUGCAAGGGCGGUUCUUCUCCAGCGAUAAUGCGUCCACGAGGUGUAAUUUUGAUAGUAGCUAACCAGUUUAUCCCGGAAGUUCGAAGCCGAGGAUAAGGAAGGAAGCUAACUUGCUCGGCUUGUGAAGCUAAAAUGAAAGGCUCAAAUUUGUUGUAUCUUCUCCCAAAAUUGACAUCUACAACACCAAAUUUGUUAUACCAAAUCCCUCGGUUCACAACAGGAUCGAACCAUUCACAUUUGAAGAGGACGCAUUUUAGCUUCAAUAACCCCGAAAAUUCCACCUCAAUAAUCUCCGGCAAGAUCCCGUAAAAGUUCGUUUCACCUUUCACACAUAUUCCGUAGUUACUCGUUGCCCGAUGUCUCCCAUACUCGUAUGUGUGAAAGGUAAAUCCUCGUGUGAAAUACAUAGGUGAUGUGGUGACAUUUGCAACUGGACCUUGAACCAAUUCGUGAAACCAUACGGGAUAAUAAGGAUCGUCAUAGUCAACCUGCAAAAAGCAGUUAUUCUUAAUUAAUAUUGAAGUAUCAAAAUACUUACUUAAUUAAUUAAUGUAUGAGAUAUAUUACGUACCUGUGAUUUUAACCACUUGAAAAAGUGCUUAUCUUUACGUGUGUCCACAUCAGUUGCAGAUAUUCCUGGUAUUGCUUCUUCAACUUGAGAUACAAACAUGCUGCAAAUUAAACAAAUAAGCAAGUCAUACAUAAUUAACUUCAAUUCAUAUGAUUAACAUUCACAAAAAUAUUUACCUUUCAAAGUAACGGGUCACUGCAUCCUCGCAGUUGAGCAGAAUAUAAGUGUGGGCACUAUGUUUAUCCUCUUCACAUGACCACCAUACUUCUUUCGUUUUAACACCAAACCGUGCAAUUUCGCAGAAAAUGUCAGGAACACCAUCAAUUGGAUAUGAUGUCGGUACUCCACCAUCAUCAUAUCUUCUAGGAACUCUUUUCCUCGUACGAACAGUUGGAGCAAAGUAGUAUGAUGUGAAGUUAGAUGUUUCGGCUGUCAAACUCCCCGCAACUAUUGAACCUUCCACCUUUGCAAGAUUUCUUGCUUUCCCCUUCAAAUGUUUCAUCUGUCGCUCAUACGGAUAUAUCCAUCCGUUGUGAACAGGUCCACGAAGCAAUGCUUCAUUCGGUAGGUGGACAACUAGAUGCUCCAUGACGUCAAAAAAUGAAGGAGGAAAUAUCUUCUCCAGGUUGCACAAUAUGAUCGGAAUGUUAUGAUGAAGUUGUUCGAUGACUUCUUCCUUGAACGUACGUGUGCUAAGAUCUCUGAAAAAAGCGCCGAUGGCUGUAUAUUGCAAAAGUAAUCAAAUUAAUAACAUUUCAUAACAUAUGUAUAUAUAUUAUAAAUUUAUAAUUACCUGCAAGUGCUUCAUGGACAUUUGCUGGAAGGAGCUCGGCAAAAGCAAAUGGAAGUAGUCGUUGCAUAAACACAUGACAAUCAUGACUCUUCAUUCCGGAGAACUUUUGACCUCGUUCAACACACCUUGACAGAUUUGAAACAUAACCAUCAGGAAACUUAACUUCUGAUGCAACCCAGUCAAACAAAGUUGUUUUGGCUUCUGAUGACAACCGGAAGAUGGGAACAGGAACGUUUCCAUUGCUCUUGAUAUGUGACUCACUUCUUGAGCAAAUAUCAGGUAAGUCCAUCCUUGACUUUUUGUUAUCUUUUGUCUUCCCAGGGACGUUGAGUAAUGUAUUCAUGAUGUUCUCAAAAAAGUUCUUCUCAAUAUGCAUGACAUCCAGAUUGUGGCGUAAGAGAAGAUCCUUCCAAUAGGGUAGCUCCCAAAAUAUACUCUUCUUAUGCCAAUUGUGAGACACACCAUACCCAUCAGGCAUAUUUCCAGGAACAUGCCAAUUUCCUCCAACUUUAACUGUUUCCUGAGCUCCGUAAUAAUCAAUGUCUGCUUCGAUCUGCUGGCCGGUGAGAUAUGGAGGAGGACCGUCUCUGACAAUUUUUUUGUGCCAAAACAAUGUCUUAUUUCUUCUGUACGGAUGGGCAAGUGGAAGAAAGCGACGAUGACAAUCAAACCAACAACUCUUCCUACCAUUCUUCAGUUGAAAAGCAUCCGUCGAUCCAAGACAAUAUGGACAAGAUAAUCUUCCAUGUGUUGUCCAGCCAGACAACAUCCCAUAAGCAGGGAAAUCACUUAUCGUCCACAGCAAAAUUGCUCGCAUCGUAAAAUUAUUUUUCAAGGAACAAUCGUACGUCCUCACCCCUUCUGACCACAAUUGCUUUAGCUCUUCUAUCAACGGUUGAAGAAAAACAUCAAGAGACCGUUUUGGAUGCUUCGGCCCAGGGAUUAAUAUGGUCAAAAAUAGAAAUUCUUGUUCCAUGCACAUAUCCGGCGGUAAAUUGUAUGGCGUAAGAAUGACUGGCCACAAAGAAUAUUGUCUACCAGACAUUCCAAAUGGACUAAAUCCAUCGGUGCAUAACCCAAGAUAGACAUUCCGAAUAUUUGUAGCAAAAUCUGCGUGUACCUUUUUGAAAUGUUUCCACGCUCUUGCGUCUGAUGGAUGUGCAACCUCACCAUCUCUCUGGACAUGUUCCGCAUGCCACCUCAUCGACGCAGCAGUCCUCUCAGAUUGAUAUAAUCUUUUCAAUCUAUCUGUAAUUGGUAGGUACCACAUCCUUUGGUACGGUACCCUAUUCCUCCCACGGCCUUGCGGUUUGAAUCGUGGUUUUUGCAGAAUCGACACUCUUCUAACUUGUCAUCUUCUUUCCAGUAGAUCAUGCAGUUGUCGAUGCAAACAUCAAUCAUCUCCGAAGGUAACCCAAGACUAUAAACCAAUUUUUGAAUCUCAUAAUAAGAUUCAGCAGACACGUUGUCUUCUGGCAAAUACUCUUUAAACAACUCCGCCCAUGCAUCCAUGCAAUUCUCAGGUAAAUUAUGAUCCGUUUUAAUAUUCAUCAUCCUAGCUGCUAGAGACAAUUUAGAGAGACCUUCUCUACAACCAGUGUAGAUUGGUUGAUUUGCAGCAUCUAGCAUUUCAUAAAACCUUUUUGCAUCCAAAUUAGGUUCUUCUACAUUUCCAGUUCCAUCAGCUAUUGUUGUAGUUGUUUCUAAAAAUGCAUCACUAAUCAUAUCUUGAACCCUAUCAUGAUCUACCAUCUGCUCAUGAUCUUGAUGAUAAUUAUAUUCAUUAUGCAAAUGAUUCGGUUCUUCACUAUGAUGACCAUCCUCAAAAUUAUUAUUACUACUACUAGCUUCAUUUUCCCCAUAACUCUCUCCAUGUUGAUACCAAAUGUAGUACUGUGGUGUAAAUCCUCUAUUUACUAAAUGCUUCCAUACAGUUUCACUACGUGCAAAUUUUGAAUUCUUGCAUUUCCGACAGGGGCAGAACAUCUUACCGCUUUCCUGUGUGAUCGGUGUACAGCCCGCCUGGUGCAUGAAUGUCUCUAGCCCGCUCAGAAAUGCGUUCGUCACCCUCCCGUCGGAAUCUUUGUGCAAAUACAUCCAACUCCGUAACUCGUAAAUACUACCGCCACCGGCCAUUUUUUUCUUAGAUUUUUUUUUGAAAUCUUUUUUUUUCUGAUUUUUUUUCGGAUUUUUUUUUCUCCCGUUUGUGUGUUGUGAGGAAGAGAGUUGUGGGAAAUGACAUAUAUAUAGAGAAAUUUUCGAGUUGGGUAGUUGAAAUAUAAAAACGAUUUUACAAGGAAUAUUUUACAUGGAUUUUACAUGGUUUUAACAUAAUAUUUACAACGACUUUACGACGAAAUUAGGUAAGUUAAAGCACAUUGAAUACACGUUUUCACCUAAAUAUAACGGUAACAUGUUUCGUUGUAAUGUCGAUGUAAUGAUUACGACGUAUUUCUCAUUCCACGUACAUUCGUCGUAAACUUACAUGGAGUUUACGACGAAAACUAUUCGUCGUAAAUUUACAUGGCGUUUACGACGAAAGUUGGAAUCCUCGUAACUGCGUUGUAAACACCAUGUAAAUUUACGACGAAAUAUUUUCGUCGUAAAUGUUCGUUGUUAUGAGCACGUUUUCUUGUAGUGUUGGGGUUCUGAUUUAGAAAUUAGGAUAACAAGAAUUUUUGUUGAUAGAUGAGUAUUCUUUUAAGAGUUUUGAUCAAUAGGUCAUAUAUUUUAGAUAAAAUUCUCAAAAAUUCUAUUUUUGGAAAAUUUUCAUUUUUUUAGGAAUAUUGUAGAUUUGGGGUUGUGAUUUAGAAAUUAGGAUAACAAGAAUUUUUGUUGAUAGAUGAGUAUUCUUUUACAUUUUUUUAUCAAUAUGUUGUAUUUUUUAGAUAAAAUUCUCAAAAAUUUUAUUUUGAGAAAGUUUUCAUUUUUGUAGAGAAAUAUUGUACAUUUUGGGGUUGUGAUAGGAUAACAAGAAUUUUUGGUGAUAUAUGAGUAUUCUUUUAGAUUUUUUGAUCAAUAGGUUGUAUAUUUUAGAUAAAAUUCUCAAAAAUUCUAUUUUGUGGAAAGUUUUCAUUUUUAUAGAGAAAUAUUGUAAAUUUGGGGUUGUGAUUUAGAAUUUAGGAUAUAUAGAAUUUUUGUUGAUAGAUGAGUAUUCUUUUAGAAUUUUUGAUCAAUAAGUUGUAUUUUUUAGAUAAAAUUCUCAAAAAUUCUAUUUUAUUAAAGUUUUUAUUUUUAUUAAGAAAUAUUGUAGAUUUGGGGUUCUGAUUUAGAAAUUAGGCUAAGAAGAAUUUUUUUUGAUAGAUGAGCAUUCUUUUAAAAGUUUUGAUCAAUAGGUUGUAUAUUUUAGAUAAAAUUCUCAAAAAUUAUAUUUUUGGAAAAUUUUCAUUUUUGUGAGUAAUAGUGUGGAUUUGGGGUUUUGAUUUAGAAAUUAGGAUAACAAGAAUUGUUUGUUGAUAGAUGAGUAUUCUUUUAGAUUUUUUGAUCAAUAGUUGUAUUUUUUAAAUAUAAUUCUCAAAAGUUCAAUUUAAAGAAAGUUUUCAUUUUCUAUAGAAAUAUUGUAGAUUUGAGGUUGUGAUUUAGAAAUUAGAAUAACAUAAUUUUUUGUUGAUAGAUGAGUAUUCUUUUAAAAAUUUUGAUCAAUAGGUCGUAUAUUUUAGAUAAAAUUCUCAAAAAUUCUAUUUUAGGAAAGUUUUUAUUUUUAUUGAGAAAUAAUGUAGAUUUGGGGUUCUGAUUUAGAAAUUAGGAUAACAAAAUUUUUUGUUGAUAGAUGAGUAUUCUUUUAAAUAUUUUGAUCAAAUGGUUGUAUAUUUUAGAUAAAAUUCUCAAAAAUUCUAUUAUUGGAAAUUUUUCAUUUUUAUAGAGAAAUAUUGUAGACUUGAGUUCUGAUUUAGAAAUUAUGAUAGCAAGAAUUUUUGUUGAUAGAAGAAUAUUCUUUUAAAAGUUUUGAUCAAUAGGUUGUAUAUUUUAGAUAAAAUUCUCAAAAAUUCUAUUUUUGGAAGUUUUCAUUUUCAUAGAGAAAUAUUGUAAAUUUGGGGUUGUGAUUUAGAAUUUAGGAUAACAAGAAUUUUUGUUGAUAGAUGAGUAUUCUUUAAGAAAUUUUGAUCAAUAGGUUGUAUUUCCUAGAUAAAAUUCUCAAAAAUUCUAUUUUAGGAAAGUUUUUAUUUUUAUUGAGAAAUAUUGUAGAUUUGGGGUUCUGAUUUGGAAAUUAGGAUAACAAGAAUUUUUGUUGAUAGAUGAGUAUUAUUUUAAAAGUUUUGAUCAAUAGGUCUUAUAUUUUAGAUAAAAUUCUCAAAAAUUCUAUUGUUUGGAAAGUUUUCAUUUUAUUGUAGAAAUAUUGUAGAUUUGGAGUUGUGAUUUAGAAUUUAGGAUAACAAGAAUUGUUGUUGAUAGAUGAGUAUUCUUUUAGGAUUUUUGAUCAAUAAGUUCUAUUUUUUAGAUAAAAUUCUCAAA
RNAcentral lists this long non-coding RNA (16794 nucleotides) under Brassica napus (rape). RNAcentral's name for it is "long non-coding RNA (BNAP_LNC018688)". The record is from RNAcentral. Lineage: Eukaryota; Viridiplantae; Streptophyta; Magnoliopsida; Brassicales; Brassicaceae.